Molecule: ribosomal RNA, 626 nt
Filed under: cf. Panagrolaimus sp. Konza IVCC-72
Lineage: Eukaryota; Metazoa; Nematoda; Chromadorea; Rhabditida; Panagrolaimidae
Description: SSU rRNA
Rfam family: Eukaryotic small subunit ribosomal RNA
Source: RNAcentral
GGCGAUCAGAUACCGCCCUAGUUCUAACCGUAAACGAUGCCUACUAGCGGUGCGAAUAUAGAGUAAUCUAUACUUGCGCAGCUUCUCGGAAACGAAAGUCUUUCGGUUCCGGGGGAAGUAUGGUUGCAAAGCUGAAACUUAAAGGAAUUGACGGAAGGGCACCACCAGGAGUGGAGCCUGCGGCUUAAUUUGACUCAACACGGGAAAACUCACCCGGGCCGGACACCGUAAGGAUUGACAGAUUGAUAGCUCUUUCAUGAUUUGGUGGUUGGUGGUGCAUGGCCGUUCUUAGUUCGUGGAUUGAUUUGUCUGGUUGAUUCCGAUAACGAACGAGACUGUUAGGUAGUGUUAGGUUGUAUUAUUUUUAAUAAUGCCUCCUCCACGACCGAUUAAUAGUGUUUAACUAUUUGAGAAAGAGCGAUAACAGGUCUGUGAUGCCCUUAGAUGUCCGGGGCUGCACGCGCGCUACAAUGUAGUGAGCAUCAUGUUCCUGCUUCGAGAGAAGUGGGUAAACCUUGAAAACAUUACGUAACUGGGAGUGAAACUUGCAAUUAUGUUUCAUGAACGAGGAAUUCCAAGUAAACGCGAGUCAUUAGCUCGCAUUGAUUACGUCCCUGCCCUUUGUA